This 351-nucleotide ribosomal RNA is filed under the name uncultured fungus. RNAcentral describes it as "SSU rRNA". It matches the Rfam family "Eukaryotic small subunit ribosomal RNA", at positions 20 to 370 of the family's 1831-position model. The record is from RNAcentral. Lineage: Eukaryota; Fungi.
GUAGUCAUAUGCUUGUCUCAAAGAUUAAGCCAUGCAUGUCUAAGUAUAAACAAAUUUGUACUGUGAAACUGCGAAUGGCUCAUUAAAUCAGUUAUGGUUUAUUUGAUGAUAUCUUGCUACAUGGAUAACUGUGGUAAUUCUAGAGCUAAUACAUGCAAUCAAGCCCCGACUUCCGGAAGGGGUGUAUUUAUUAGAUAAAAAACCAACGCGGCUCGCCGCUCCCUUGGUGAUUCAUAAUAACUUCUCGAAUCGCAUGGCCUUGUGCCGGCGAUGCUUCAUUCAAAUAUCUGCCCUAUCAACUUUCGAUGGUGGGAUAGAGGCCUACCAUGGUUUCAACGGGUAACGGGGAAU